This 243-nucleotide ribosomal RNA is filed under the name uncultured Actinomycetales bacterium. Its description in RNAcentral is "partial 16S ribosomal RNA". It matches the Rfam family "Bacterial small subunit ribosomal RNA", at positions 524 to 766 of the family's 1533-position model. Lineage: Bacteria; Bacillati; Actinomycetota; Actinomycetes; Actinomycetales. The record is from RNAcentral.
UACGUAGGGUGCAAGCGUUGUCCGGAAUUACUAGGCGUAAAGAGCUCGUAGGUGGUUUGUCACGUCGUCUGUGAAAUUCCACAGCUUAACUGUGGGCGUGCAGGCGAUACGGGCUGACUUGAGUACUGUAGGGGUAACUGGAAUUCCUGGUGUAGCGGUGAAAUGCGCAGAUAUCAGGAGGAACACCGAUGGCGAAGGCAGGUUACUGGGCAGUCACUGACGCUGAGGAGCGAAAGCAUGGGU